CACAUGUCUACCACCUCUAAAGAACAACCUAUGUCUCAACAAAAAAGAGGUGGAAUCUAUCAGAUUGAAAAUAUUAUGGAUAUCCACAGUAAGGUAAAUGAGUUAUCCCAAAAAUUAGACCGUCUUCUAAAUACGGAACACUCUCCGAUUCUACCUAAUCCAAUCUAAGAUGUUUGUGCAUUGUGUGCAAGCCCGACCCAUUUUGUUAGUGAAUCCCAACCGCACCUC
RNAcentral lists this long non-coding RNA (228 nucleotides) under Elaeis guineensis (African oil palm). Its description in RNAcentral is "long non-coding RNA (EGUI_LNC026688)". The record is from RNAcentral. Lineage: Eukaryota; Viridiplantae; Streptophyta; Magnoliopsida; Arecales; Arecaceae.